CCUUUUUAAGUACCUUUCGUUUCCUCGGCAGGCUCGCCUGCCGAUGGACCCCCCAAAAAACACUUUGCAGUACCUGUAAUAGUCUGAACAACAAACAAAAAAUUAAAACUUUCAACAACGGAUCUCUUGGUUCUGGCAUCGAUGAAGAACGCAGCGAAAUGCGAUAAGUAGUGUGAAUUGCAGAAUUCAGUGAAUCAUCGAAUCUUUGAACGCACAUUGCGCCCUUUGGUAUUCCUUAGGGCAUGCCUGUUCGAGCGUCAUUUAAACCUUCAAGCUCAGCUUGGUGUUGGGUGACUGUCCGCUGCCCUCGGGUGCGGACUCGCCUCAAAAUCAUUGGCGGCCGGUACAUUGGCUUCGAGCGCAGCAGAAACGCGAACUCGGAACCGAUGUAUUAGCUCCCAGAAGCUAUCUUCAUAAUUUUGACCUCGGAUCAGGUAGGGAUACCCGCUGAACUUAAGCAUAUCAAUAAGCGGAGGAAAAGAAACCAACAGGGAUUGCCCUAGUAACGGCGAGUGAAGCGGCAACAGCUCAAAUUUGAAAUCUGGCUCUUUCAGGGUCCGAGUUGUAAUUUGUAGAGGGUGCUUUGGAGUUGACUGUGGUCUAAGUUCCUUGGAACAGGACGUCGCAGAGGGUGAGAAUCCCGUAUGUGGCCGCCAGUCUUCGCCGUGUAAAGCCCCUUCGACGAGUCGAGUUGUUUGGGAAUGCAGCUCUAAAUGGGAGGUAAAUUUCUUCUAAAGCUAAAUAUUGGCCAGAGACCGAUAGCGCACAAGUAGAGUGAUCGAAAGAUGAAAAGCACUUUGGAAAGAGAGUCAAAAAGCACGUGAAAUUGUUGAAAGGGAAGCGCUUGCAGCCAGACUUGCCUGUAGUUGCUCAUCCGGGCUUUUGCCCGGUGCACUCUUCUAUAGGCAGGCCAGCAUCAGUCCUGGCGGUUGGAUAAAUGCCUGUUGAAUGUACCUCUCUUCGGGGAGGACUUAUAGCUUCGGGCGGCAUACAACCAGCUGG
This 1002-nucleotide ribosomal RNA is filed under the name Dothideomycetes sp. genotype 145. RNAcentral's name for it is "eukaryotic LSU rRNA". The stretch from base 421 to 1002 matches the Rfam family "Eukaryotic large subunit ribosomal RNA", at positions 1 to 587 of the family's 3401-position model. Lineage: Eukaryota; Fungi; Ascomycota; Dothideomycetes. The record is from RNAcentral.